AGACCCGAAACCCGGUGAUCUAGCCAUGGGCAGGUUGAAGGUUGGGUAACACUAACUGGAGGACCGAACCGACUAAUGUUGAAAAAUUAGCGGAUGACCUGUGGCUGGGGGUGAAAGGCCAAUCAAACCGGGAGAUAGCUGGUUCUCCCCGAAAGCUAUUUAGGUAGCGCCUCGUGAAUUCAUCUCCGGGGGUAGAGCACUGUUUCGGCUAGGGGGCCAUCCCGGCUUACCAACCCGAUGCAAACUGCGAAUACCGGAGAAUGUUAUCACGGGAGACACACGGCGGGUGCUAACGUCCGUCGUGAAGAGGGAAACAACCCAGACCGCCAGCUAAGGUCCCAAAGUCAUGGUUAAGUGGGAAACGAUGUGGGAAGGCCCAGACAGCCAGGAUGUUGGCUUAGAAGCAGCCAUCAUUUAAAGAAAGCGUAAUAGCUCACUGGUCGAGUCGGCCUGCGCGGAAGAUGUAACGGGGCUAAACCAUGCACCGAAGCUGCGGCAGCGACACUCAGGUGUUGUUGGGUAGGGGAGCGUUCUGUAAGCCUGUGAAGGUGGCCUGUGAGGGUUGCUGGAGGUAUCAGAAGUGCGAAUGCUGACAUAAGUAACGAUAAAGCGGGUGAAAAGCCCGCUCGCCGGAAGACCAAGGGUUCCUGUCCAACGUUAAUCGGGGCAGGGUGAGUCGACCCCUAAGGCGAGGCCGAAAGGCGUAGUCGAUGGGAAACGGGUUAAUAUUCCCGUACUUGGUGUUACUGCGAAGGGGGGACGGAGAAGGCUAUGUUGGCCGGGCGACGGUUGUCCCGGUUUAAGCGUGUAGGUGUGUGUUCCAGGUAAAUCCGGUUCACUUUAACACUGAGGCGUGACGACGAGGCACUACGGUGCUGAAGCAACAAAUGCCCUGCUUCCAGGAAAAGCCUCUAAGCAUCAGGUAACAUCAAAUCGUACCCCAAACCGACACAGGUGGUCAGGUAGAGAAUACCAAGGCGCUUGAGAGAACUCGGGUGAAGGAACUAGGCAAAAUGGUGCCGUAACU
RNAcentral lists this ribosomal RNA (1027 nucleotides) under Salmonella enterica. RNAcentral's name for it is "partial 23S ribosomal RNA". It matches the Rfam family "Bacterial large subunit ribosomal RNA", at positions 711 to 1735 of the family's 2925-position model. Lineage: Bacteria; Pseudomonadati; Pseudomonadota; Gammaproteobacteria; Enterobacterales; Enterobacteriaceae. The record is from RNAcentral. RNAcentral also lists the same sequence under 3 other names.